CUUCGGCGAUCGGGAUCAAAGAAGGCCUCUGCUUGCAAGCUUUCACUGAAGGAUGAGUCCGCGUACCAUUAGCUAGUUGGCAGGGUAAUGGCCUACCAAGGUUAUGAUGGUUAGCUGGUCUGAGAGGAUGAUCAGCCACACUGGAACUGAAACACGGUCCAGACUCCUACGGGAGGCAGCAGUGAGGAAUAUUGCGCAAUGGGGGCAACCCUGACGCAGCAACGCCGCGUGAGUGAGGAAGGUUUUCGGAUUGUAAAGCUCUGUCGAGCGGAAAGAAGUGCAUGGUGGUUAAUAUCCAUCAUGCUUGACGGUACCGCUAAAGGAAGCACCGGCUAACUCCGUGCCAGCAGCCGCGGUAAUACGGGGGGUGCAAGCGUUGUUCGGAAUCAUUGGGCGUAAAGCGCGUGUAGGCGGCUGGACAAGUCAGAUGUGAAAGCCCUGGGCUUAACCCAGGAAGUGCAUUUGAAACUGUUCAGCUAGAGUAAGGGAGAGGAAAGUGGAAUUCCUGGUGUAGAGGUGAAAUUCGUAGAUAUCAGGAGGAACACCGGUGGCGAAGGCGACUUUCUGGCCCUAUACCGACGCUGAGACGCGAAAGCGUGGGUAGCAAACAGGAUUAGAUACCCUGGUAGUCCACGCUGUAAACGAUGUUCACUAGGUGUUGGGGAUAUUGACCCUUCCAGUGCCGCAGCUAACGCAUUAAGUGAACCGCCUGGGGAGUACGGUCGCAAGAUUAAAACUCAAAGGAAUUGACGG
RNAcentral lists this ribosomal RNA (753 nucleotides) under uncultured bacterium. RNAcentral describes it as "bacterial SSU rRNA". It matches the Rfam family "Bacterial small subunit ribosomal RNA", at positions 186 to 916 of the family's 1533-position model. The record is from RNAcentral.